AGCGAACGCUGGCGGCGUGCCUAAUACAUGCAAGUCGAACGAAGCUGUUUUAACUGGUGCUUGCACCGACUUAAACAACUGAGUGGCGAACGGGUGAGUAACACGUGGGUAACCUGCCCCAAAGCGGGGGAUAACAUUUGGAAACAGAUGCUAAUACCGCAUAACCACAGAAACCACAUGGUUUCUGUGUCAAAGAUGGUUUCGGCUAUCACUUUGGGAUGGACCCGCGGCGUAUUAGAUAGUUGGUAAGGUAAUGGCUUACCAAGGCAAUGAUACGUAGCCGAACUGAGAGGUUGAUCGGCCACAUUGGGACUGAGACACGGCCCAAACUCCUACGGGAGGCAGCAGUAGGGAAUCUUCCACAAUGGACGAAAGUCUGAUGGAGCAACGCCGAGUGAGUGAAGAAGGUUUUCGGAUCGUAAAACUCUGUUGUCAGAGAAGAACGUGUGCGAGAGUAACUGUUCGUGCAGUGACGGUAUCUGGCCAGAAAGCCACGGCUAACUACGUGCCAGCAGCCGCCGUAA
This 524-nucleotide ribosomal RNA is filed under the name uncultured bacterium. RNAcentral's name for it is "partial 16S ribosomal RNA". It matches the Rfam family "Bacterial small subunit ribosomal RNA", at positions 29 to 523 of the family's 1533-position model. The record is from RNAcentral.